GAUGAACGCUAGCGAUAGGCCUAACACAUGCAAGUCGAGGGGCAUCACAUGAAGUAGCAAUACGGAUGGUGGCGACCGGCGCACGGGUGAGUAACACGUAUGCAACCUGCCUUUCAACAAGGGGAUAACCCGUUGAAAGACGGACUAAUACCCUAUAACACAGGGGUCCCGCAUGGGAAUAUUUGUUAAAGGACAACCGGUUGAAGAUGGGCAUGCGUUCCAUUAGCUAGUUGGCGGGGUAACGGCCCACCAAGGCAACGAUGGAUAGGGGAACUGAGAGGUUUAUCCCCCAACUGGUACUGAGACACGGACCAGACUCCUACGGGAGGCAGCAGUGAGGAAUAUUGGUCAAUGGACGCAAGUCUGAACCAGCCACGUCGCGUGAAGGAAGACGGCCCUACGGGUUGUAAACUUCUUUUAUACGGGAAUAAAGUGCCCCACGUGUGGGGUUUUCAAGUACCGUAUGAAUAAGGAUCGGCUAACUCCGUG
RNAcentral lists this ribosomal RNA (489 nucleotides) under uncultured bacterium. RNAcentral's name for it is "bacterial SSU rRNA". It matches the Rfam family "Bacterial small subunit ribosomal RNA", at positions 28 to 507 of the family's 1533-position model. The record is from RNAcentral.